UUCUGUUGGGGCGGGCAGUUGCUAUGGUGAGAAUUCAUGGUGUGGUCAAAGCACGUGGGCAACUCAGCUCACCAGCCUGCAUGUACCCAGGGCAUAAACAGAUGAAUUGUGACUGUGGACUCUGAUCCAGCACAAUGGAUGGUGUGGCCCUGGCCUUGGGUCACUUCUUUCAAAUGAAUUGAGCUGUCUUCUGCAAGCAAGAGCAUCUGCUGAGCUCCUGAGCACCUCCUUACAGACAGCACUGGAAAGCACCAGCUGAAAGAAAGGCCGAAAGCUGACCAAGAUUCAGGUAUUAAUAGAGACACGUUAUGGAAGGGUUAUAAGUGUUUUGGUUCAGGAGAUGGAUGCCAGGUCCCCAUCUUCUGAGAGCAGAUUAUCCAAGAUAACACCGAUGUCAGUAGCUUAGUCUGAACCCAAACUGAGUUUCAAGAAGGGAAACUUCUCACUGCAUCUUGGAUAAUUCCCCUAAGAAUUUCCCUUGGGAAUUAGCAUUGUAUUGGCCGUUGGCUAGAACCAAGAUACCCAGAGUGGGUUUUCUUAUCAUCAGUCAGACCAGUUCUGGACAGGAAGCAGGAAGGGAAAAUUCUUUCAAUGAAUUAGACACUAGCUACUUAGGUCACAAGUGGCAUCAUUUACUUCAUACUUUUUUUCCUGGGAAUGAAUGCAUGGCUGGGCAGAUGGUAUCAUCAGGAAGGUUUUGACUUGGGUGAGUAUUCCAAGGAAAAGGACUGGUGAUCAGAGCUAGCUUUCAAUGCACACAGCAGUAGGAGCAUCUCUGGGAUACAAAUUAAUGCAGUUAGGAUCUGCAAGGACUGGUUUCAAAUGCAAACAGGUAAAUACAAGCAUCAAACACUUGGAUAGAGGCAUAUAAACUAGGGGAAAUACCAUUACUCACAGGAUAAUCAUUGGAGGGAUGCUGAAGAGGACAGUGGAUCACCUGAUGAAAUAACACACACCAGAUAAAGAAUGCAGUAGAAGAGAUUAAAAUCUUGAUACAUAAUCAAAAUGAGAAUUGAAUUUGACUGUAACCAAAGAGAAUGAACCACUUAUAACAUGCAAGAGGAAUGCAGCUUGGGUGAGAACGGCCACGAAACAACAGAGUUCACGAGUUGUCAGAAAGGAAGGAAGGAGAACAGCAAAAUAAACACAAUGGACUUCCAGAAAGCAUAUUUCAAAAACCUCAUAGAACUGAUAAUCAUGAGAAACAAGUCUCAGAGAAAAGGGAAUUCAGGAAAGUUGGCAGCAGCUAAAAGAAACAAUGGUGGUAAGGACAUCAAUUCAAACAAUCCCAACAGAGGAGGGAAAGCAACUGUCACAAGAUGAUGUGCCUAAAUCAUCACCACUUCACUGAUCCCUAACACAUGAAACAGUGUCUUCGGAAAAUAGAAACUAGAUUCACAUGCCAAUGAAUGUAAAUGCACAGCCUGAAGGUGUGGGGACCAAAUCAGGAAAGUCAAGAGAGAAAAAGAGAAUCAACCAGCAGGAUCAAUGGGACAUCAAGAAAACUUCAAAUACAUUAGCAGUGACAUGAAGGCUGUGGGAGGAACAAAAGGGGAGGUGGUAGUGAAUGAUGUGAAGACAGUGGAAGUAUUUACCUGCUUCAGCUUUCAGUAAAAUAAUCCCUUAUGACAAAAUGGUUACCACAGUUAGUGCUGAAUGAUAACAGGGAAAGAACUCAGUCUAGAAAGAAGUGAAGAGUAUUUAUUCGGAUUAAAUAUUAUACUCUUGUACUGCCUGUUGAAACAAUCCCGUGAUGGUUAGCAGCUCUCUGAGACCUCAGAGAACCACCACUGUACCAGAAGACCAGAAAAGGGAGUUGCAAACCCUUUUAAAAAGGAAGGAGCUGAAGAAAGAUGCACGAAACAGCUUGGUUUGAAUUGCCAGAGAAAACUGGAAAAUAAAUAUUCUAUAAAUGUCUGAAAAAUAA
This is a non-coding RNA of Phasianus colchicus (ring-necked pheasant), 1927 nucleotides long. The record is from RefSeq and is a predicted model, not a curated record. Lineage: Eukaryota; Metazoa; Chordata; Aves; Galliformes; Phasianidae.